RNAcentral lists this transfer RNA (72 nucleotides) under Camelus bactrianus (Bactrian camel). It matches the Rfam family "tRNA". From Rfam's summary of the family: Transfer RNA (tRNA) molecules are approximately 80 nucleotides in length. Their secondary structure includes four short double-helical elements and three loops (D, anti-codon, and T loops). Further hydrogen bonds mediate the characteristic L-shaped molecular structure. tRNAs have two regions of fundamental functional importance: the anti-codon, which is responsible for specific mRNA codon recognition, and the 3' end, to which the tRNAs corresponding amino acid is attached (by aminoacyl-tRNA synthetases). tRNAs cope with the degeneracy of the genetic code in two manners: having more than one tRNA (with a specific anti-codon) for a particular amino acid; and 'wobble' base-pairing, i.e. permitting non-standard base-pairing at the 3rd anti-codon position. Lineage: Eukaryota; Metazoa; Chordata; Mammalia; Artiodactyla; Camelidae. RNAcentral also lists the same sequence under 2 other names. The record is from Rfam by way of RNAcentral.
GGGGGUGUAGCUCAGUGGUAGAGCACAUGCUUAGCAGGCAUGAGGUUCUGGGUUCAAUACCCAGUACCUCCA